This 242-nucleotide ribosomal RNA is filed under the name uncultured Planctomycetales bacterium. RNAcentral describes it as "partial 16S ribosomal RNA". It matches the Rfam family "Bacterial small subunit ribosomal RNA", at positions 439 to 672 of the family's 1533-position model. The record is from RNAcentral. Lineage: Bacteria; Pseudomonadati; Planctomycetota; Planctomycetia; Planctomycetales.
GGAGUUAGGAAAUGUAGAUACGCUGAUAUCGUAUCUAUUUGACAAAGGCUCCAAAGGAAGCCACGGCUAACUCUGUGCCAGCAGCCGCGGUAAUACAGAGGUGGCAAGCGUUGUUCGGAAUUAUUGGGCGUAAAGAGCACGUAGGUGGAUUUGUAAGUCAGAUGUGAAAGCCUUCUGUUCAACGGAAGAAUUGCAUCUGAAACUACAAACCUUGAGUAUAGGAGGGGAGAGUGGAACUUCUG